This is a long non-coding RNA of Oncorhynchus keta (chum salmon), 3014 nucleotides long. RefSeq lists it as uncharacterized. The record is from RefSeq and is a predicted model, not a curated record. Lineage: Eukaryota; Metazoa; Chordata; Actinopteri; Salmoniformes; Salmonidae. The transcript has 4 exons.
CUCUCUCUCUCUCUCUCUCUCUCUCUCUCUCUCUCUGGGAGCAUUGGAUUAUAUUUUGGGCUGGAGGAUACUGGUGCCAUGGUAACAAGGUUUGCGAUGCGGACCUUCACGGCACAAGAUAAGCUAACGCCCCUCUGUAAACAGUCAAGCGGUGGCUAUAAGACGGGGGUAUGUGACAAUAUAAACAUAACCCCCUGUAAACGUACAACGGCAUAUCAUGCUAUAAAAAAGACGCUAGCUAACUACCGCUAGCUAACCACCGCUAUCUACCGCUAGAUAACUACAGCUAACUACCGCUAGCUAACUACAGCUAACUACCGCUAGCUAACUACAGCUAACUACCGCUAGCUAACUACAGCCAACUACCGCUAGCUAACUACAGCUAACUACCGCUAGCUAACUACCGCUAGCUAACUAUCGCUAGCUAACUACCGCUAGCUAACUACAGCUAACUACCGCUAGCUAACUACUGCUAACUACCACUAGCUAACUACAGCUAACUACCGCUAGCUAACUACAGCUAACUACCGGCAGCUAACUACCGCUAACUACCACUAGCUAACUACAGCUAACUAACAAUAGCUAACUACUGCUAGCUAACUACAGCUAACUACCGCUAGCUAACUACCGCUAGCUAACUACAGCUAACUACCGCUAGCUAACUGCCGCUAACUACCGCUAGCUAACUACAGCUAACUACCGCUAGCUAACUACAGCUAUCUACCGCAAGUUAACUGCCAAAAUAGGAAUAAUAACUAACUAUCAUAUCUAUGGUAACUACCACCACCCCUAUUGGAAUCUGGCUACCUAUAAAUACAGUCUCACUUUAAAGGAUUAUAAGCUCAUGCAUAAAAAUAAUUGACUAGGUAGGGUUGCAGACUUUCCCAGAAUUCAAAAGGUUUUUUUUCCCCAGAAAGUUACUGGAAAUAUUGUAACGACUAGAGUUGACCAAUCACACAGAUUCACUGAGGUCUGGAAUAUAGGCUAGAGAACAUGGGAAUGAUUCUAAAACACAUGGGAUCAGAUUAAAACUAAAUCAAAUGAUUCCUAAAACACAUCAGAUCAGAUUAAAACUAAAUCACAUGAUUCCUAAAACACAUCAGAUCAGAUUUAAACCAAAUCACAUGAUUCUAAAACACAUCACAAGGUAAACUAGAUAAACUCCUCACACCAGCCUCCUCUGACACACACACAGAGUCGAUGUGCGUCAUAUAGAUACUGGUUUCAUGUUGUACCAUGAGUGUGAGAGAGAGGGGAGAGAGUGGUAGGAAGUGUGUGUGUGUGUGUGUGUGUGUGUGUGUGUGUAUGACUGUCCUCCUCCUCUUCCUCAGUUAACAGAGGGAUAUUCAGGUGCUGUCUAGCAACCCUGCCACAGGGGGAUCAAAUUAAGACCCUACAUCUGUAUGAAUGUGUGUAUGAAUGUGUUUGUGUGGGUUUGUUAAGGUGUGUGUGUGUGUGUGUGUUGGUUAAGGAGUGUCUGUGUGUGUGUGUGUGUGUGUGUGUGUGUGUUAGUUAAGGAGUGUGUGUGUGUGUGAUGGUUAAGGAGUGUCUGUGUGUGUGUGUGUGUGUGUGUUAGUUAAGGAGUGUGUGAUGGUUAAGGAGUGUGUGUGUGUUGGUUAAGGAGUGUGUGUGUGUGUUGGUUAAGGAGUGUGUGUGUGUGUUGGUUAAGGAGUGUGUGUGUGUGAUGGUUAAGGAGUGUGUGUGUGUGUGGUUAAGGAGUGUGUGAUGGUUAAGGAGUGUGUGUGUGUUGGUUAAGGAGUGUGUGUGUGUUGGUUAAGGAGAGUGUGUGUGUGUGUUGGUUAAGGAGUGUGUGUGUGUGUGUUGGUUAAGGAGUGUGUGUGUGUGUUGGUUAAGGAGUGUGUGUGUGUGUUGGUUAAGGAGUGUGUGUGUGUGUUGGUUAAGGAGUGUGUGUGUGUUGGUUAAGGAGUGUGUGUGUGUGUUGGUUAAGGAGUGUGUGUGUGUGAUGGUUAAGGAGAGUGUGUGUUGGUUAAGGAGUGUGUGUGUGUGAUGGUUAAGGAGUGUGUGUGUUGGUUAAGGAGUGUGUGUUGGUUAAGGAGUGUGUGUGUGUGUUGGUUAAGGAGUGUGUGUUGGUUAAGGAGUGUGUGUGUGUGAUGGUUAAGGAGUGUGUGAUGGUUAAGGAGUGUGUGUGUGUUGGUUAAGGAGUGUGUGUGUGUGUGUGUGUUGGUUAAGGAGUGUGUGUGUGUGAUGGUUAAGGAGUGUGUGUGUGUGAUGGUUAAGGAGUGUGAGUGUGUGUGUUGGUUAAGGAGUGUGUGUGUGUUGGUUAAGGAGUGUGUGUGUGUGUGUUGGUUAAGGAGUGUGUGUGUGUGUGUGUUGGUUAAGGAGUGUGUGUGUGUGAUGGUUAAGGAGUGUGUGUGUGUGAUGGUUAAGGAGUGUGUGUGUGUGUUUGGUUAAGGAGUGUGUGUGUGUUGGUUAAGGAGUGUGUGUGUGUGUUGGUUAAAGAGUGUGUGUGUGUUGGUUCAGGAGUGUGUGUGUGUGUUGGUUAAGGAGUGUGUGUGUGUUGGUUAAAGAGUGUGUGUGUGUUGGUUCAGGAGUGUGUGUGUGUGUUGGUUAAAGAAUGUGUGUGUGUUGGUUAAGGAGUGUGUGUGUGUUGGUUAAAGAGUGUGUGUGUGUUGGUUAAGGAGUGUGUGUUGGUUAAGGAGUGUGUGUGUGUGUUGGUUAAAGAAUGUGUGUGUGUUGGUUAAAGAGUGUGUGUGUGUUGGUUAAGGAGUGUGUGUGUGUGUUGGUUAAAGAGUGUGUGUGUGUUGGUUAAGGAGUGUGUGUGUGUGUUGGUUAAGGAGUGUGUGUGUGUGUGUGUGUGUUGGUUAAGGAGUGUGUGAUGGUUAAGGAGUGUGUGAUGGUUAAGGAGUGUGUGUGUGUUGGUUAAGGAGUGUGUGUGUGUUGGUUAAGGAGUGUGUGUGUGUGGUUAAGGAGUGUGUGUGUGUUGGUUAAAGAGUGUGUGUGUGUUGGUUAAAGAGUGUGUGUGUGUUGGUUAAGGAGUGUGUGUGUGUUGGUUA